Molecule: long non-coding RNA, 1274 nt
Organism: Plutella xylostella (diamondback moth)
Lineage: Eukaryota; Metazoa; Arthropoda; Insecta; Lepidoptera; Plutellidae
Source: RefSeq, a predicted model, not a curated record
CAAACCAGUCUCCCUGGACAUUUAAAGCAUAUUUAAAGGAGUUGACGGACAAUUUGAUUGAAGACUUUAGCUUCAUGAAACUAGCUGAUUUGAGCGUAACAAAUAAGGUUUUUACUGCGUUGCAACUGGCUCCAGACUGGAAUUUAUAACCAAGACUAAAUAUUCAAGUGCCUAUGUGAAGUACCUACUUAACAACAAGUUGUAUUAAGAUCUUAUGAAGUUAAUACCUACAUAAGAAACUAAAUUGGCAUAUCAUUCUGCUACUGAAUAAUCAGAAAGCAGUUUUUUAGCUAAUAGAAGAGAAGCUUAUGCUUGAUAUUUCAGAACACUGAUAAUAAUUGUGAUGUGAUUUAAUAUAUGAUACUUAAUAAACACAAAAUACAGCAAAAACCAUGUUUCAUUUCAUUAUUUAAAUGUUGAUGUUGCACUUGACUAAGAGGUCAUUCAUGAUACUAUUGAUUUAUAAAGGCUUGAUAGGAAGUAUUCCUUCUUAAGAGUCCGGCAAUGAUAACAUUGCAACAUGGAAGAAAUUGUAUAAGUAACAUUGUAAGUUGUACUUUUAAUAUAUGGAUACCUACCAUAUCCUCCUCAUUCCUUAGCAGACUUGAGGCCCUGUAUACUUACUUUUACCUGUUGCAAUGUAAUACCCUUGUAAUCACCUACUGAGUAGAGUGGCAAGACAGUACUCUUGGCUGAUCUUAAACCAUUCCGUGGAUCACAAUUUAACAGUGCUCAGCGGAGGACACUGUCUCGGGCCGCUCUACUUGGUGGUGUAAUCAGGGUGUUAGCAUUAUCUGCUUUAUGAAGAUUAGGUAGACACAUUUUUUAUGUUUAAAGCAGGGUUUACUUACAUGAUAACAUUGUGUUUUUACAUAAGCAGACACUUGGUCCAUGCAUAAUGUUACAACUCUUAUUACUAGUUAUUACUGCUUUUUCUUAGAACUGCUUUAAACAUAAAGAAUAAAAAAUAAAACAGCCGCAUUCAACUUUUAAUAUGAUUAAUACAUUACGAGUAAUCGUUUAUAGAGUUUACAAUGCAUGAGUCUAAUAAGUACACACCUAAACUAUGAUCACUUACGACUUACGAACUUUUGGAUUUCGAUAUGAUUAUGGAAUUGUAUUAAGUAUGUGGUUGAAAGCACGAUCUUAGAGUAUGGGUUUGCACUUAUUAUUCAGAAAUAUUAUCACGGUACAAGAUAUUUUCAGUAUUUCACUGUAAUUGUAGGUUAUGUUGAGUAUUUUUUCAAUAAAUUUCCGCCUUGAGUUAAAACUUU